This 358-nucleotide unclassified non-coding RNA is filed under the name Hevea brasiliensis (rubber tree). Lineage: Eukaryota; Viridiplantae; Streptophyta; Magnoliopsida; Malpighiales; Euphorbiaceae. The record is from RNAcentral.
GGAGUAAAUUUCCCAUUCUUUUCAGUAUCAAUUGUUGAGGGAUGAAAUUGAUUGGAAAAGAAAAAUUAUGAUGAGAGGACAGUGGUAGAGCAUACUGACUUUAGGCAUCAUAGAUUGGGCAGCUGUAACAAUUUGUAUUAACCAAAGCUCUCAUCUUCCCUGUGAUGAGUUUGCCGUAAAUUUCUUUUCAAUGACUAAAUUAUCACUGAUAUAGUUGGUUCAUGAGAUGGCUGCAUAAUUUUGCUAAAAAGCCAAAAUAGAUUUUCACUGUAGAAUUACAUGCUAUUUUAACUUCUUUUGUAUCUUCAUACUUUCUAGUUCUGGAAUGACUACUAUCCCUUUCAGAAAUUGAACUCAG